Molecule: non-coding RNA, 2262 nt
Organism: Drosophila suzukii
Lineage: Eukaryota; Metazoa; Arthropoda; Insecta; Diptera; Drosophilidae
Source: RefSeq, a predicted model, not a curated record
UAAUAUAACACUCCACACUGCUCAUUUAAUACACUAUAACACCAUUCACGCUUAUACCAACUCACAAAAUUUAAAAUUAAAAUUUAUCACACACAUUGAAAACAUUUUCAUCGCUUAUCGUUCAUCGUCAUCGCUCAUCGUUCAUCGUCAUCAUAACAUCACCAGAAACUACUGCACGCUAUUUACAUAGCUGUCCAUUUAAUUUUGUUUUUCUUGAAACUUAGUUUCAUACAUUGGCGGUGGCGUUAACCCGUUCCAACGGGGCGGCCAAAAAAUUCUUCCCUCUUCACUUCCCUGAACUGAACUUAAUAUAUAAAAAAAAAAAACUAAAAUAUACGUUCAAAUUGGUAUAGAUUUCGACAAAUAUUGGUGUUGGCGGCGCUUCGAUAUGGAGAAGACUUUGAAAAAGCAGAACAGCAAUGUUGCCUGUCAAGAGGAAGAAGGAACGUUCCCAAAAAAGCGCAAGAAAUAUGGGCUAUCUUCUCUAUGGAACUAUUUUGACUACCAAGUGCAAAAUAUGUGGUAAAACCUACCAAACAAGUGGCAAUACGACAAACUUGUCUUGCCACUUAAAAGCCAUUCAUCCGACUUUAACAAUAAGCGAAUUGCCACAAAGACAGACGACCUCAAUUCUGUCGUUCAUUGACAAAAAAUACGAAACGUCGUCGGACCGCAAACGAAAAUUGGACAGUGCCUUAUGCUACUACAUUACCUCAGACUUGCGGCCUUUUUCAGUGGUGGAAAAUAAAGGCUUCCGCAAUUUUGUAAGCCUCCUUGAUCCAAGAUAUGAAUUGCCUUCACGGACCACCUUAAGAAAUGCUUCGAUGGCAAAUGCAUACAAUGAAAAGGAGGCCAAAUUUUGCGCCUUUUUAAAAAACGAUAAGCACUGUGCAAUCACUUCAGAGUGCUGGACCUCCAGGGCCAACGAGUGCUACGUUACUGUGACGUGACGUUUUAUAACAGAGGAUUUCGAAUUGCGCAACGCUGUUUUGUCCACUGAAAAGCUCCUCGACGAAACGAGCCAUUCUUUUGAAAAUAUUGCAAACUCUUUACUCUACACAGUACUCGAGGAAUGGAGAGUUUUAGGGAAGGUCACUGCAAUGUUCACAGAUAACGCCAAAAAUAUGAUAAAAGCAUGUGAGAUACUGCUAAUAAGACAUAUUCCAUGCUUUGCGCAUUCAAUCAAUUUGACUGUCCAGGACUGUUUGGCUACAGAAAAAGUCAAGCCCAUUCUUGAAAAGUGUAAGCGUAUUGUUUCGCUUUUUAAAAGUAGCACAAUUGCGUAUGCCAAGUUUAAAGAGGCUCAGGAAUGCGAACGUCCUUAUAGUUUAAAGCAAGAAUGUCCUACAAGAUGGAACACCGGCUAUUAUAUGUUGGAUCAAAAUUCUGAUCACAAAGAUUGCCAUCGCAAGUGUGCUACUAAACACGCCCAAAGGGCUAAUGCCGCCAACAUCUGAAGAAAUAUCCAUUCUGGAGGAUUUAAAGGCAAUACUUUCACCCUUUCAACAUGCAACGGUACACACAUCUUCGAGUACUUCUGUGACAGUGUCUUCAGUGAAUCCGGUUGUUUGUGGUAUUUUACACAAUCUGACAGGCAUGAAAACUAAACUCCAGACUAAGGUGGGCCAAGAUGUCUGUGAUGACAUACAUCAAGGGGUCAAUAAAAGAUAAUAAUUCCUCCCAAGGGAUUAAAUCGUUGGAGGAUGAACCGUCGCUCAUCAAUGCUCCAACAAAAUCUUCUGCAUUUUCAAGCCCGCCAACACCAGAAUCCACAGCAGAAUCCAACCUAUUAUUCAGUUUUUUACAAACUAAUCAAACUCAGAAAACUCAAAGCGGUCAAAGCCAUAUUGGCUUUGCGACAAUACUUGAAUCCGAGUAAUUUGGACCCUGCCCAAAACCCUUUGGAUUAUUGGAAGAUAUCAAAUGACGCCGGAUUCAAAACUUGCGUUGUUAAAUACUUCUGCGUACCGGCCACCUCUACUGAAAGUGAGAGGAUGUUCAGUAAAGCUGGACUAGUCGUUAGCGAGAAGAGAAGCUCUCUAAAACCAAAGAAUGUCAAUAUGAUAUUAUUUCUAAACAAAAAUGAUUGGAUAAUUUAGUUUUAGUUAUGUUACUUUUUACUUAUUUUUUGAGAAGAACUUUAUACUGUUAAUUAUUUUAUUUUUAGUUGAAUUGUGACUUAUUUUUAAUUUUUGAGUUGCACCAGUAGUUUAAGUUUUACUUUGAAAUUGCAUGAAACAAAAAUAGAAAACAAUGGAUCUC